GUGAACGCUGGCGGUAGGCCUAACACAUGCAAGUCGCACGGCAGCACAGUAAGAGCUUGCUCUUACGGGUGGCGAGUGGCGGACGGGUGAGGAAUACAUCGGAAUCUACUUUUUCGUGGGGGAUAACGUAGGGAAACUUACGCUAAUACCGCAUACGACCUACGGGUGAAAGCAGGGGAUCUUCGGACCUUGCGCGAUUGAAUGAGCCGAUGUCGGAUUAGCUAGUUGGCGGGGUAAAGGCCCACCAAGGCGACGAUCCGUAGCUGGUCUGAGAGGAUGAUCAGCCACACUGGAACUGAGACACGGUCCAGACUCCUACGGGAGGCAGCAGUGGGGAAUAUUGGACAAUGGGCGCAAGCCUGAUCCAGCCAUACCGCGUGGGUGAAGAAGGCCUUCGGGUUGUAAAGCCCUUUUGUUGGGAAGGAAAAGCAGCAGGUUAAUACCCCGCUGUUCUGACGGUACCCAAAGAAUAAGCACCGGCUAACUUCGUG
RNAcentral lists this ribosomal RNA (491 nucleotides) under uncultured bacterium. RNAcentral's name for it is "partial 16S ribosomal RNA". It matches the Rfam family "Bacterial small subunit ribosomal RNA", at positions 29 to 507 of the family's 1533-position model. The record is from RNAcentral.